GGAAUUUGGGAAUUCCGUUUACGCCGUUGCGUAGAGCACGGCGAAACGAGUUCGUAGACACGGAGUAGACCCGAAUCGGAGUUGUAACGAAGGAGUUAUGGUCAAAAGAGUCUCAGUGGCAGAACUGUAAAUAUUUCGAAGUUGAAUUAAUAAAAAGAAAAUCUGUCAGCUCUCUCUCUCUCUCUCUCUCUCUCUCUCUCCCUCCCGAUAGUUUCAGAAACCCAUUCGGGCAGCCCCAUUCCAAGCCACCCCCAACGCCGCCUCAAGCCACCCCGACCCUCCGGAACGGACCCAGCAGCACCGGCCAGCUCCCGCCAUCAACCUCAGCCCGUCCGCCGCCCCUGCUGCUGUCUGGAGCCGCUGGAAAACGCAGCAGUUUUGGCCGAUUUUCCAACUUCAGUUUCUCCCUCAUCCGGCCACCAAAUCAGUCGUGUGAGGCAUCAGAGGCCAAACUGAACCACAGGAGGGACCUUCAAGAGGUCCAGCUAGCUCGGACCAGCAGCAGUCGAGUGUGCAGGAAUCCACCACCAGGCCAUCUCCUAGCUCCCACGCUAUUUCCAAGCUGUAGGAUUUCUUGUAACCUACUUAAAUUCUUGUAAACAAUUAGUAACUGCUCUGAUAUCUGGUUGGAAUAGAUAACCAGAACUGGUGAGUAUUUAGUUACCCUUUUCUGGCAGUUGGUGUGGAUUUAUCAGUUUGUUUGACAGGUGGAAAAAUUUGGGUUUAGUCAAAUUACAGGGGAGUCUCUGCCGAAAUUAAAGCAGGAGUCCAGAGAAAGUUUUAACCAUAUUUAUAUCCAGGAAGGGUAAAGAGGUCAUUGUGCCCGACAAUUGCCAGGUGUCGGACACGCACAGGGCUUGGCUCGAAUUCCAAAGCGAAAAUUGGGUCGGGUCUUGUCAAAAUAAGUAUAGACCCAUGUCAAUGUGCUGUAAAAAGGGAUAGAACCAUUACAUAAUGUGUACAACAUAAUAUUAUAAAAACCAUAUGGUUCCAAAAAUAAACAACUCAUGUUUAAGCUACAACAGUUUUCGUAGC
Prunus persica (peach) is the source of this 1035-nucleotide long non-coding RNA. RefSeq lists it as uncharacterized. The transcript has 3 exons. Lineage: Eukaryota; Viridiplantae; Streptophyta; Magnoliopsida; Rosales; Rosaceae. The record is from RefSeq and is a predicted model, not a curated record.